UUUUUAGGCAGGCAGGUUUUAAGGCAGCCAGCCUGAGAGAGUUGGUUUGAUGGGCUGCUUUCAGCUGCACAGCAAGAACAAGCCACAGGCAGGGCAGUCUUGUCUGACUGGAGCCAACUUUCACACUAUGACCUGAAUAAAAUCAGCAGUUGAAACUCGACUAGAGAAGAAAGGAAGUAGUCUGCUGAUAGCACUAUUUUUAAAAAAAUGCAUUUGCUUUGAGCCUGAGUCUGUCAUUUGAAAUAGAGGUACCCAGCUAUCAUUCUGGGUAGCUGAGAGUUCACACUCUGGAGUCACCACCUACUAACUCUGUAAUAUGGGCCACCAACCUUUCAAGGACAAUGAGUACCAAAUAAGAGGAGACACAGAAGGAGCUCAGAGCAGUCCUUGGCUCACAGUUGGUGCUCAGCGAUGUCGGCUAUGCUGCCACCACCAGCACUGCUGAUGAAGAAGGAAGCAGGGCCAUUAGACUGCAUCUGCUGGACCUAAGGGGCCCAGACUCUUCCUGGGACAUGGGACAUGGACAAACCAAGGUUUAUUCCCUUGAGCAAAAUCAAUCUGUUCAUGAAAAAACAGAGAACACUGCAAUCCUUAAGUAAAAUAAUAGCUGGGGGACCGUUGGACUCCAAGGCCAGCACCUCCCCACUGCACAGAUCCCACAGAUUUGAUGUCAGAAAUCUAAAGAAGAAAAGAAAAGAAAAUAACAUUGAACCUGGUUUGGUUUAAACUCUCUCUUAAGCAGGCCUCUUUCAAAUGUGAGAAAGUUCAGCUCUCAACAUGUAUUAACAAAAGGUGUUUACAACAGAAUGCCUGGUUGUGCCUAAUAAUGGCUUUGCUCUUUGAAUUAAUUCCUUCCUGGUGACAAAGGCUGAGCUUUUGAACUUCUGGGUAUGGUUAGGCAGGGCAUUUUUGCUUGGCUUGGCUCUCUUAAAUGAGUAGAAAAGGCUUGGUUGGGCACCUGGUAUUUUGUGGCCAGUAAUUAUGUUACAAUUGUUACUGUGCAUCACCGAAACUUCAUUUUUUGACCAAAAGCCAACUGUACUCUUUAAAACAAACCUCUUUUGAAAGUCUAGUGUGCUUUGAAAUAAUUUUAAAAUCCAUCUGUAAAUAGGGUUUGGCACAAGUCAGUUUGUUAAAGAUAAUGUUUUGCUUUAACAUAGUAUCCCUUUGCCUGCCCCUUGUCUGAGUCUCUUCAGCUCUUACAAGCAGUAUGUAACCUUUCCACUUAAGCCAUCUCAAUGCUUCCUUCCCCUUCAUCAGUGUGGCUGUAAUGUGCAUGACAUCCCUCCAGGGAACAGAUUUACUCUAGGGUGUGUGCUCAUAACUGAGUCAGGGUGAUAAACACUUAAAUAGCAGAGAAAUCCACAUUUAGAAGACCAGUAAGUUAUCUAUAUGGGCAGGCUUUCCCAGCUGUGGGUCUUCUGAGACAACCAGGUCCUCAAUUCUUAACUGAAAACUUGAUCAAGCCAUCAGGGUGGAGCCAUAGGGUUGAAGUGGGUGGGUGGUGAUAUACAUUUAAAGACCCAUCAGGCAGGAGGGGUUCUCAAAUACAAGAACUCCCAUCAAUGCCUCCUCUCCUCACUGUUAGUUUCAGAACAAUAACACAGAUACUCACCUCACAAGGACCUGGUGAAGUUAAUUGUGAUACACAUGUGAUUGAGAAACGGGUUUUUCUCUUGGUAUUCCCCUACUUACUCCCCCCUGUCUCAAGCAGGGGGGCCCUGGACGGCAGGCCCUGUUGCAAUGCCUGAAGGUGGGGAAAUGAUGUGACAGGAUAAACAGCAAGACAAGAACAUCAACUUCUGUGAGUUGUGUUUUGUGUUACAAAAACUCUCAGAGGACCAGGCGCAGUGGCUCACGUCUGUAAUCCUAGCUCUCUGGGAGGCUGAGGUGGGAAGAUUGC
This is a long non-coding RNA of Microcebus murinus (gray mouse lemur), 1903 nucleotides long. RefSeq lists it as uncharacterized. The record is from RefSeq and is a predicted model, not a curated record. NCBI's taxonomy places the organism in Eukaryota, Metazoa, Chordata, Mammalia, Primates, Cheirogaleidae.